GAAGCGGGGCGCCGCGGGCUGGGGGCGGCCUGUGCAGCCCCGGCCUCGGCUCUGGACGCUGUCGGGCUAAAGCUGAGGGGUUAGGAGCUUAGGCGUGGCGGUCAGGCCUCCUCGCCGCUCUCCUCUCCGCCAGCAAUGGCAGGCCCUCGCGGAGCUGACUGGGCUCUGAGCCCCCUGACUGGACAUAGUUUGGUUGUCUGCAAAGAACAAGAGUCUAUGCUCCAGCACCUUCAGUUUGCUCUGAUAAUUAGAUGGAAAGGAUGUAAAGUGCUCAGCACAAUGCCCAUUGUCGAGUUCCGAUGGUAACGCAGCUUAGAGGUGAGAAAAUGAACGCAAGUAACAAGCACGUAUUUUCGACUAGCAUUUAUUAAGCACCCGCUAUUUGCCAGGACUACACCAAGCAUCUGUAUGACUAUAAGGAAUGAUUAUAAGGCAGCUACUCUUAAAUCUAAAGGAUCAGAAUUGAAAGCUAUCAUUUUGGUCUGUCUCUAUCGGAAGAACAUGAAAGAUUUCUCAGCUAUUAACACAGUACAUGUGACCACGUUAAAGCUCUGCUUGCCUGCUAGUGAACUCAGAUUAUCUGUGUGGUAACACAGAGAACCCUUCAAAGUCUGGCUACAUACCCAAAGCUGCUACUUUGAUGAUGAUUGCUUGAAUGUUGGAUGAUAUCAUUUCAUGGAGCAAAUCUUCCUGGUUUCUCUGCCAAAGGGUUAAUGUGAAGAUUGAGUAAAAUGAUCCAGAUAAACAACAGUAUUCCAGCACCUAGUAAACACUUAAUAAAUGUUUUCUUCUGUCAUCAUAAUCCUCUCUAUUACUACUACAACUACUACUUCUAUUUUGUGCUUUGGGAAUCUACAUACAACUUGGUUGGAUACCUCUGGAAGAAGAUUACAAAAGGAUUGAGAACAAUAGGAAGCAGAGAUCACUGAGGGCCAUCUUAGACGCUGCCAACUUCAACAGCACGGUACAGUACUGGAACAUCAGAAGUACUCAAUAAAUGUUCACCAAAUGAAAGGUAAGAAAAGUCUAUUAAUGAUAGGAUAUAGGUUAAAGUUGAUAGGAAAA
Talpa occidentalis (Iberian mole) is the source of this 1065-nucleotide long non-coding RNA. RefSeq lists it as uncharacterized. The transcript has 8 exons. The record is from RefSeq and is a predicted model, not a curated record. NCBI's taxonomy places the organism in Eukaryota, Metazoa, Chordata, Mammalia, Eulipotyphla, Talpidae.